RNAcentral lists this unclassified non-coding RNA (189 nucleotides) under Glomeromycetes sp. Its description in RNAcentral is "partial contains 5.8S ribosomal RNA and internal transcribed spacer 2". The stretch from base 1 to 72 matches the Rfam family "5.8S ribosomal RNA", at positions 84 to 154 of the family's 154-position model. Lineage: Eukaryota; Fungi; Glomeromycota; Glomeromycetes. The record is from RNAcentral.
GUGAAUCAUCAAAUCUUUGAACGCAAAUUGCACUCUCCGGUUUUCCGGGAGAGGAUGCCUUGUUGAUGGUCAGCCUAGCGAAAAUCUACGUUUUUGCUGUUAUUUAAUGAUGGCGGUUGGCGGAGGAUGGGUUAGCUUAAACCUUUGUUUUUUUUUUUAGGUUUAAGCGACUUCAAAUUUUGUUACUGG